This 468-nucleotide ribosomal RNA is filed under the name uncultured bacterium. Its description in RNAcentral is "partial 16S ribosomal RNA". It matches the Rfam family "Bacterial small subunit ribosomal RNA", at positions 28 to 507 of the family's 1533-position model. The record is from RNAcentral.
GACGAACGCUGGCGGCGUGCUUAACACAUGCAAGUCGAACGGAAAGGCCCUGCUUUUGUGGGGUGCUCGAGUGGCGAACGGGUGAGUAACACGUGAGUAACCUGCCCUUGACUUUGGGAUAACUUCAGGAAACUGGGGCUAAUACCGGAUAGGAGCUCCUGCUGCAUGGUGGGGGUUGGAAAGUUUCGGCGGUUGGGGAUGGACUCGCGGCUUAUCAGCUUGUUGGUGGGGUAGUGGCUUACCAAGGCUUUGACGGGUAGCCGGCCUGAGAGGGUGACCGGCCACAUUGGAACUGAGAUACGGCCCAGACUCCUACGGGAGGCAGCAGUGGGGAAUAUUGCACAAUGGGCGGAAGCCUGAUGCAGCGACGCCGCGUGCGGGAUGACGGCCUUCGGGUUGUAAACCGCUUUCGCCUGUGACGAAGCGUGAGUGACGGUAAUGGGUAAAGAAGCACCGGCUAACUACGUG